This is a long non-coding RNA of Lates calcarifer (barramundi perch), 846 nucleotides long. RefSeq lists it as uncharacterized. The transcript has 5 exons. The record is from RefSeq and is a predicted model, not a curated record. Lineage: Eukaryota; Metazoa; Chordata; Actinopteri; Centropomidae.
UCACGGACUGUUUCCAUCCAUCCCUACAGUUCAUGAAAAUUAGAAUUGGACCAAUAUUCAUAGUAAAGUGGCUGAAAUCUCAUCUUCUCUUCUCCGUUCACUGGAGAUAGCAUUUGAUAAUCCUGAGCUUAAUGAGCGAGCAGAAGCCGAGACAGGAGGACUUUCAGACGCGGGACUCAAUACAGCAGUUUUUCAUUCUGAGUUUAAUGAGCGAGCAGAAGCCGAGACAGGAGGACUUUCAGAUACCAUACUCAGUACAGCAGUUUUUCAUUCUGAGCUUAGUGAGCGAGCAGAAGCCGAGACAGGAGGACUUUCAGACGCGGGAAUCACCGUGAGCAGAAUCCGAGACAGCAAGACUUUCAGACGCGGGACUCACUCAUUUGAUAAUCCUGAGCUUAAUGAGCGAGCAGAAGCCGAGACAGGAGGACUUUCAGACGAGGGACUCAAUACAGCAGUUUUUCAUUCUGAGUUUAAUGAGCGAGCAGAAGCCGAGACAGGAAGGACCUUCAGAACCGGUACUCGCUGUGAGCAGAAGCCGAGACAGCAGGACCUUCAGACGCGGGACUCGCUGUGAGCAGAAGCCGAGACAGGCGCACUGUCAGACGCGGGAAUCACUGUGAGCAGAAGUCGAGACAGGAGGAAUUUCAGACGCGGGACUCACUGUGAGUCCUCAGAAGGGAAAAUAUCCCGGUCGGCCGCUGACCGUUUCCAUACACCCAGAUCAUUCACAACCAUUCGAAUUUAAGAAACAUUCAUAUUAAAGUGGCUGAAUUGUCAUUUUCUCCUCUCCUUUCGCUGGAGACAGCAUUUGUUAAUUGUGAGCUUUAUCAGCGACAGAAAGAAGUA